UUUUUUUUAAAGAAAGCUCUAGGCCCAACGUGGAGCUUGAACCCGUGACCCCAAGAUCAAAAGUUGCUUGCUCUUCCCACUGAGCCAGCCAGGCACCCCGAUAUACUUGUACUUAUUAAUGAAGAGACACUCUACAAUGGAGAAAACGGACAGACUCUACAAUGGAGAAAACUGACAGACACCAGACAGGGUUGUGGAGCUCAAAGGCCAAGAAAGAAUUCUUGAGACAUUGUACAGUGUAACUUGGGUCCUUGGAGAAAGGAGGAGACUCCGACAAGGAGAUCACAGGUCACACGGGAUAAAGAAAUGGAGGCCCAGAGAGAUGAAAUUACUUGCCCAAAGGUUAUACAGCUAGUAAGUAACACAGCUGGGAUUGGAACACAGCUUCUAUGACUCAAGAGUCCAUGGACUUGACCAGCUGGUAAUAUGCUUGCCAGGCCAAUAAAGAGCUCAUCUUCAAAUGGCAUCAUUUUUUUUUUUUAAAUAAUGCAGAGGGAUGCUUAGAAUAACAAAGUCAUAAUGCAGGAAUAAAACAGUGUGGGAGGUCACUUAAUCCUCAAGCACUAGAUGAAUUCGAUUGAUUUACAUGCAUUUAAAAAUUUUCUUUCCAAAAUUGGUAAAAUGUCAUGUCACUGUCUACAAGCCUGAGCAUUAAGGUUCUUAUUUAAAGUACAAUUAAUUGGAGUGCCUGAGUGGCUCAGUCAGUUAAGCAUCUGCCUUUGGAUCGGGUCAUGAUUCCAGGGUCCUGGGAUCAAGCUCUGGGUCCUGGGAUUGAGCUCUGGGUCCUGGGAUCAAGCUCUGCAUCGGGCUCCCUGUUCAGCAGGGACCCUGCUUUCUCCUUCUCCCUCUGCCCCUCCACCCUGCUUGUGUACACUCUCUCUCUCAAAUAAAUAAAUAAAAUCUUUUAAAAAUAAAUAAAUAAAGUACAUUUG
Mustela lutreola (European mink) is the source of this 932-nucleotide long non-coding RNA. RefSeq lists it as uncharacterized. Lineage: Eukaryota; Metazoa; Chordata; Mammalia; Carnivora; Mustelidae. The transcript has 5 exons. The record is from RefSeq and is a predicted model, not a curated record.